GCCACCUUAGUCUAGCGGUUAGGACGUUGGCCUCUCACGCCGAAGUCAGGGGUUCGAUUCCCCUAGGUGGUGCCA
Molecule: transfer RNA, 75 nt
Filed under: Clostridiales bacterium
Lineage: Bacteria; Bacillati; Bacillota; Clostridia; Eubacteriales
Description: tRNA-Glu
Rfam family: tRNA
About the family: Transfer RNA (tRNA) molecules are approximately 80 nucleotides in length. Their secondary structure includes four short double-helical elements and three loops (D, anti-codon, and T loops).
Source: RNAcentral